Molecule: ribosomal RNA, 429 nt
Filed under: Pseudomonadota bacterium
Lineage: Bacteria; Pseudomonadati; Pseudomonadota
Description: Proteobacteria bacterium partial 16S ribosomal RNA
Rfam family: Bacterial small subunit ribosomal RNA
Source: RNAcentral
UGGGGAAUAUUGGACGAUGGGCGAAAGCCUGAUCCAGCCAUGCCGCGUGUGUGAAGAAGGUCUUCGGAUUGUAAAGCACUUUAAGUUGGGAGGAAGGGCAGUAAGCGAAUACCUUGCUGUUUUGACGUUACCGACAGAAUAAGCACCGGCUAACUCUGUGCCAGCAGCCGCGGUAAUACAGAGGGUGCAAGCGUUAAUCGGAAUUACUGGGCGUAAAGCGCGCGUAGGUGGUUCGUUAAGUUGAAUGUGAAAGCCCCGGGCUCAACCUGGGAACUGCAUCCAAAACUGGCGAGCUAGAGUAGGGCAGAGGGUGGUGGAAUUUCCUGUGUAGCGGAGAAAUGCGUAGAUAUAGGAAGGAACACCAGUGGCGAAGGCGACCACCUGGGCUCAUACUGACACUGAGGUGCGAAAGCGUGGGGAGCAAACAGG